This 269-nucleotide long non-coding RNA is filed under the name Carica papaya (papaya). Its description in RNAcentral is "long non-coding RNA (CPAP_LNC003963)". Lineage: Eukaryota; Viridiplantae; Streptophyta; Magnoliopsida; Brassicales; Caricaceae. The record is from RNAcentral.
GAGGUUUAUGGUUUUGGCGCCCAUACCGGACGGGGUAUGGGGACGGCCCGUUUCACCCUCAUACCGGACGGGGUAUUGAGGUUCAUGGUUUUGGCACCCAUACCGGACGGGGUAUGGGGACGGCCCUGGAAACUGAUUAUGAAUGUUAAAGGUUAACGGGUAGCGGAACCCCUAUGGACCCCCACGGAUACUAGUAGGCUGGUAAAUGAGAAAAAGAUAUGUUGUACAAUGAUUGAAUUACAAGAGGCGUGAUAAGUGUUAUGUUUUAC